Molecule: long non-coding RNA, 100 nt
Organism: Melanotaenia boesemani (Boeseman's rainbowfish)
Lineage: Eukaryota; Metazoa; Chordata; Actinopteri; Atheriniformes; Melanotaeniidae
Exons: 3
Source: RefSeq, a predicted model, not a curated record
GGUAGAUUUUCCCUGCAUGUAGGAGGAUCCAUAAAGGCCAAUAUCACAUAGUUUUGGAAAGACAUGAAGUCUGCUGGACUUACGAGUCUGGAGAAGAGGA